RNAcentral lists this ribosomal RNA (253 nucleotides) under uncultured bacterium. Its description in RNAcentral is "partial 16S ribosomal RNA". It matches the Rfam family "Bacterial small subunit ribosomal RNA", at positions 524 to 776 of the family's 1533-position model. The record is from RNAcentral.
UACGUAGGGGGCGAGCGUUGUCCGGAUUUAUUGGGCGUAAAGAGCGUGUAGGCGGCCGGGCAGGUCUGGUGUGAAAACUCGAGGCUUAACCUCGAGAUGUCACCGGAAACCAUCUGGCUAGAGUCCGGAAGAGGAGAGUGGAAUUCCUGGUGUAGCGGUGAAAUGCGUAGAGAUCAUGAGGAACACCAGUGGCGAAGGCGGGUCUCUGGACAGUUCCUGACACUGAGACACGAAGGCCAGGGGAGCAAACGGG